AUGUCUACAUCUCAGACCACGUUGUCGACUAUGUACCGAGAUGCCAGUGUCAAGGCCGUGGCGAAAGCAUCGCCUAGGCAGACGACUUACGAAGACAUCCCUAAGUUUCCUUAUGGAUAUCAUGAUGAGGAGGAUGCUCCCAAGCCUGGCUUUUUGUGGUCUGGCUCCCAGAUACGGCCAGCGUGGGCACCCAAGAACUACAAGGACUUGAAACUGGAACAUAGUUUUUUACCAACGACCCCCAACAAAUAUCAACUCAAGAACCUCUUCAACCAGGUGCGUUACCAUUUCAACAGAUCGUCUCCCCUGGCAUUUGAGGGCGAUUCAGCUGUCAAUGGUGCUUAUACUACCAGAUAUCCGUUACCACCUUCUAGCCCGCCAGCGGCAAAAGACACGUAUUACAUAAUCAGAAUGCGAACCCGAGGGAUUAAAAAAACCGGCCGUCCGCGAGUAUUUUUUGAAUUUUUGUUUAAAGACGAGGACAAUUAUCUUAUUGCGUGGAGGGUCUUGACGACGCCGGAGCAAUGUAAAACGGCCCAUUGGUUAUUUUUUAGAGACACGGUGAUCCAUAUGAAUGAUGAACCUUUCAAAGAUAUGGCACAGAAAUGCAAUUAUCCCAGUGCCUACGCCCAUGAGCUGCAAGAAGUGGAAAUACACAGGACAGUGUUGGAGGACAUUGAGAUCUUCCUCAGGGAUCUCUACGCGAAUCCUUUGCAGAAGACACAUGCUCAAGGCUCCUUGUAUUUUCACACACUGUUCGUAUUGUUUGGAGAAUGCCCGCGUUUCGCCCCCGUAGAUGAUAACUCUGCUGGCAGCAUCACGAAACACCAAAGAUGUGUUGAUCCUCUAGGCACAGGUUGUCUCUAUGAUCUUAUAAAAUGCUGGAAGAAGAUUUCGUUCACCAUCUUAUUACUCAAGCUGCUGCUUGUGGAGGAAUCCAUGAUUGCUGGUAUCAAGCAGGCAAAGCCCCAUUUCUGUGAUUCUCGGAAGGUCAGUCCUCAGUUUCAGGAUCUCUUUGAAGAGGCAAAGCUGCACAGAAAGAAGAUUCUGGAAAGGCUGGCUUCUUUGUAUAAGGAUGCAAAGGGCCUUGACUUGUUUGCUGCUUUGAACAAGCAAGUUAUUGAGGCUGACGGUGAUGUGGGCGACGCAACCUUGCAGCGAAUGGUCACUCGCUUCCUUCACCUCGUCAGGUUCGACAAAGACCUUGUGCCAGCUAUACUGGUGAGACAGGAUGACUUUCAGGGUGGGCUCCGUUUGAAAUUUUAG
Molecule: ribosomal RNA, 1266 nt
Filed under: Triticum aestivum (bread wheat)
Lineage: Eukaryota; Viridiplantae; Streptophyta; Magnoliopsida; Poales; Poaceae
Description: partial small subunit ribosomal RNA
Source: RNAcentral